AGCAGCCGCGGUAAUUCCAGCUCCAAUAGCGUAUAUUAAAGUUGCUGCAGUUAAAAAGCUCGUAGUUGAAUUUCGGGACCAUCAUGUCGGUCGUGCCUCGGUACGUACUGGCAUUGUUGGUUUCUCCCUUCUGACGAACCUUGAUGUCAUUAAUUUGGUGUCUUGGGGAAUCAGGACUGUUACUUUGAAAAAUUAGAGUGUUUAAAGCAGGCUCACGCUUGAAUACAUUAGCAUGGAAUAAUGAAAUAGGAUGUUUGAUUCUAUUUUGUUGGUUUCUAGGAUCGACGUAAUGAUUAAUAGGGAUAGUUGGGGGCAUUAGUAUUCAAUUGUCAGAGGUGAAAUUCUUGGAUUUAUUGAAG
Molecule: ribosomal RNA, 359 nt
Filed under: uncultured Glomeromycotina
Lineage: Eukaryota; Fungi; Glomeromycota
Description: SSU rRNA
Rfam family: Eukaryotic small subunit ribosomal RNA
Source: RNAcentral